This 1203-nucleotide long non-coding RNA is filed under the name Apteryx haastii (Great spotted kiwi). Its description in RNAcentral is "lncRNA (ENSAHAG00000003866.1)". The record is from RNAcentral. Lineage: Eukaryota; Metazoa; Chordata; Aves; Apterygiformes; Apterygidae.
AUGGGGACAGCACCAAUCAAUCAGGAGCAGAGCGUGAUGAAAACACAGGUGACACAGGUGGUGGAGGAGCCAACAAGGAGAGGUGUGCUGCUGGACCUCAUACUAACAAACAAAGAAGGACUGGUGGAAGAUGUGAAGGUCGGGGGCUGCCUUGGCUGCAGUGACCAUGAGAUGGUGGAGUUCAGGAUCCGGCGAGGAGGCAGCAGGAAACCUAGUAGGAUCGCAACCCUGGACUUCAGGAGAGCAAACUUUGGCCUCUUCAGGGACCUACUUGGAGGAAUCCCAUGGGUUAGGGCCCUAGAAGGAAGGGGGGUCCAAGAGAGCUGGUUAAUAUUCAAACAUUGCUUCCUCCAGGCUCAAGAGCGGUGCAUCCCUAUGAGUAGGAAGUCAAGCAAAGGAGGCAGGARACCUKCAUGGAUGAGCAAGGAGCUCCUGGGAAAACUCAACCAGAAGAAGGAAGUAUACAGAAAGUGGAAAGGGGGACAGGCCACUUGGGAGGAAUAUAGGAAUGUUGUCAGAGUAUGCAGGGAUGCAACGAGGAAGGCUAAGGCCUGUUUGGAAUUAAAUCUGGCAAGGCAUGUCAAGGACAGCAAGAAGGGCUUCUUCAAAUACAUCAGCAGUAAGAGGAAGACUAGGGAAAAUGUGGGCCCUUUGCUGAAUGGGGUGGGCGCCCUGGUGACGAAGGAUGCAGAGAAGGCAGAGUUACUGAAUGCCGCCUUUGCUUCAGUCUUUACUGCUCAGGCCAGCCCUCAGGAAUCUCAGACCCUGGAGGCAAGAGAGAAAGUCUGGAGAGAGGAAGACUUUCCCUUGGUCGAGGAGGAUCGGGUGAGAGAUCAUUUAAGCAAACUUGACACCCACAAAUCCAUGGGCCCUGAUGGGAUGCACCCACGAGUGCUGAGGGAGCUGGCGGACAUUAUUGCUAAGCCACUCUCCAUCAUCUUUGAAAGGUCAUGGAGAACAGGAGAGGUGCCCGAGGACUGGAAGAAAGCCAAUGUCACCCCAGUCUUCAAAAAGGGCAAGAAGGAGGACCCAGGGAACUACAGGCCAGUCAGCCUCACCUCCAUCCCUGGAAAGGUGAUGGAGCAGCUCAUCCUGGAAGCCAUCUCCCAACAUGUGGAGGACAAGAAGGUGAUCAGGAGCAGUCAGCAUGGCUUCACCAUGCUUAUCCAAAUCAUGCUUAACCAAUCUGAUAGCCUUCUAUGA